CUACGGGAUGCAGCAGUGGGGAAUAUUGGACAAUGGGGGAAACCCUGAUCCAGCAAUGCCGCGUGUGUGAAGAAGGCCUGCGGGUUGUAAAGCACUUUCGGUUGGGAGGACUGCUUCUAGCACUAAUAUUGUUGGAAGUUGACGUUACCUUCAGAAGAAGCGCCGGCUAACUCCGUGCCAGCAGCCGCGGUAAUACGGAGGGUGCAGAGCGUUAAUCGGAAUUACUGGGCGUAAAGCGCGCGUAGGCGGCUAGAUCAGUCGGGUGUGAAAGCCCCGGGCUUAACCUGGGAACUGCAUCCGAUACUGUCUAGCUUGAGUACAGGAGAGGAGAGUGGAAUUCCACAUGUAGCGGUGAAAUGCGUAGAUAUGUGGAGGAACACCAAUGGCGAAGGCAGCUCUCUGGCCUGAUACUGACGCUGAGGUGCGAAAGCGUGGGGAGCAAACAGGAUUAGAUACCCCGGUAGUC
Molecule: ribosomal RNA, 466 nt
Filed under: uncultured bacterium
Lineage: Bacteria
Description: partial 16S ribosomal RNA
Rfam family: Bacterial small subunit ribosomal RNA
Source: RNAcentral